RNAcentral lists this small RNA (321 nucleotides) under Gorilla gorilla gorilla (western lowland gorilla). Its description in RNAcentral is "Metazoan signal recognition particle RNA (ENSGGOG00000038273.1)". The record is from RNAcentral. Lineage: Eukaryota; Metazoa; Chordata; Mammalia; Primates; Hominidae.
GCCGGGCGCGGUGGCUCACGCCUGUAAUCCUAGCACUUUGGGAGGCCGAGGCGGGUGGAUCACAAGGUCAGGAGAUCGAGACCAUCCUGGUUAACAUGGUGAAACCCCGUCUCUACUAAAAAUACAAAAAUUAGCCAGGUGUGGUGGCAGACGCCUAUAGUCCCAGCUACUCGGGAAGCUGAGGCAGGAGAAUCGCUUGAACCCGGGAGGCGAAGAUUGCAGUGAGCCAAGAGCUAAUUUUUGUAUUUUUAGUAGAGAUGGGGUUUCACUAUAUUGGCCAGGCUGGUCUUGAACUCCUGACCUUGUGAUCUGCCCACCUCA